UUGCUCGGUCUGAUUAGUGGCGAACGGGUGAGUAACACGUGAGCAACCUGCCCUUCACUUUGGGAUAACCUCGGGAAAUCGGGGCUAAUACCGGAUAUGAGCUCCUGUCGCAUGGCGGGUGUUGGAAAGUUUUUCGGUGAAGGAUGGGCUCGCGGCCUAUCAGUUUGUUGGUGAGGUAGUGGCUCACCAAGGCGAUGACGGGUAGCCGGCCUGAGAGGGCGACCGGCCACACUGGGACUGAGACACGGCCCAGACUCCUACGGGAGGCAGCAGUGGGGAAUAUUGCACAAUGGGCGAAAGCCUGAUGCAGCGACGCCGCGUGAGGGAUGACGGCCUUCGGGUUGUAAACCUCUUUCAGCAGGGAAGAAGCGAAAGUGACGGUACCUGCAGAAGAAGCGCCGGCUAACUACGUGCCAGCAGCCGCGGUAAUACGUAGGGCGCAAGCGUUGUCCGGAAUUAUUGGGCGUAAAGAGCUUGUAGGUGGCUUGUCGCGUCUGCCGUGAAAACCCGAGGCUCAACCUCGGGCGUGCGGUGGGUACGGGCAGGCUAGAGUGUGGUAGGGGAGACUGGAACUCCUGGUGUAGCGGUGAAAUGCGCAGAUAUCAGGAAGAACACCGAUGGCGAAGGCAGGUCUCUGGGCCAUUAC
This 646-nucleotide ribosomal RNA is filed under the name Brachybacterium sp. RNAcentral describes it as "bacterial SSU rRNA". It matches the Rfam family "Bacterial small subunit ribosomal RNA", at positions 79 to 740 of the family's 1533-position model. Lineage: Bacteria; Bacillati; Actinomycetota; Actinomycetes; Micrococcales; Dermabacteraceae. The record is from RNAcentral.